This 2612-nucleotide long non-coding RNA is filed under the name Paramuricea clavata. Lineage: Eukaryota; Metazoa; Cnidaria; Anthozoa; Malacalcyonacea; Plexauridae. The record is from RNAcentral.
GCCGGUUUUAUUCGGAACAUCCCACAACAGUGGGGAUAACUGUCAAUUCUGAUUGGGUCACUUAUGGCUACAGCGUCCUCUCAUUUGUUGCCAUAGAGACAAAGUAUUUUCAUUCCAUCAGGCAGGCAACAUGGUCGAAGCGAAGGAGCAAAAUUUUGUUUAGAUUUUUGUUCAUAACUUCUUCAAAAUGGCGUGUAUUACCGCGAAGUAGAAGAACUAACCAAAUGUCCUUAAAAGGCUUUCGUGGAGCGCCUUUCGGCGUUCAAAGCGCCCGGUAAGAAGCAAUUGUUUAACUUAAUACAUAAAUAUGUUAACUAGUCGUAUUAUCAUGUUAUAAUUUUAUUGUUUGUUUAUCGACUGGUCAAGAAGUCAUAUUGUCGGCUAAGUUAAAAUAUUUUGGGCAAAUGUUCCGCUGAAAGGACGGAUUUAUUGUGAACUUCAAGUUUUAUCAACAUCGAUUGUAUUGUAUUCGAAUUUAUUGAAUUAUCGGGACAGUUGAAUACCUGUACCGGUACUGUAGUUACUAACCCCCUAAUUGCCUUAAUGUUUACGUUUUCUGGCAGGCAAAAGUUUAAAAAGCUCCAAAGAGAGCUUCGUCAAUCGUCAUUGUGAUAUGCAUUGUUGAAAUGUUGAAUCAUUUACUAUAGGAGAACAUAAUCUGGUGUAAUCGAAAAUUUCCUGCCAGCAAAUCCGGCUGUUCAGCAUGGCUGGAUUGAUUCUGUAGUAAAAAUUAUGAUUACUAGAUUACAUUGAUAUCGAAGGAACUAGAUUCUGUUCCGAAAUAUCACAUAUUCGAACCGACCUGACCGCGUAGCUCAGUUGGCAAGAGCAUUCAGGGCUAGUAUUCCAAAGGUUGUUGGUUCGAUUCUCACCAUGGCCAGGCAUAUUUUUCAAGCUUGGCCGGUGUGGAUAUACACUCAGAGUAACAUCACAAGCAUCAUAUUCACCUGAGUACAUUACACCAACACAGAAAAAAGUUAUUUAACUUAUUUUUAUAUUAAGAAUUAGUAUGUUAUUGUAUACAUGCUAAUGAGCCUCCCUGUUCACUGAGACAACAUUAUCGGGACUUAGGGGAUGUUUAUGUGGAGGGGAGCCAGCUAGCCCCGGUAUACCCAUGAGCUAGUUCACUUUGCAGAGACCAUAGAAAUAAUAGACACUAUCAAUAGAACUAUCAUUUUGUAAUCUUAUAAGAUAUUAGCAAAACAGUUACGUUUAGAGCAUGCAAAAAUGUUUUGAGUAAAUUAUAUUUUCGCGAAACUACUUUGCUUUUAAAAGGCUGCACGAUUUUCACUGUUUUCAUAGUGUUUUGUAACUGCACAUUUGCUUUGACAGUUUGUGCCUUCAAGGAACUCAAAAUCUAUCCCCAAACUACAAAUUAGGCAACAAGACAAAACGUUUUGAUGGUGAAAACGUAGAUUUAGCUUUGUUUAUACUUUGUACUGUAGUUUGCACUCCUGGCCAAAAUUCAAAAUGGCGCAUUCAAAAGGGCACGCACCUGAAAAAGUGGAGACAUGAUUCGUCAUUAGCACGCAUUCUAUGUCUAUUAUUUCUACCAGGCAGAGACCAAUUUUACUCUGUGUUUACAUUUGACUUUGAGGCUGUCUGGCUCACCAAAUAGUAUAAUAUUAAGAUAUUUUCUCACAAACCUGAAGUUCGCACAUUCUUGAGCAACUUUCACGGUAAGCCACAGUCUGAUCCAGUCCUUAGUCAUUGUGUUUAUAUUGGAAAUUUGCAAGAUAUCGGAUCAGUCGAGGCAAGAUCUUGCUUAGGCAGGCCAGGUCAGUUCCCAUAUAAACACAAAAUGAGACUAAUUAGUAGGAAGUAAUAACAAAGGCGUAAUCUCAUCUAAACCUUUGAAAGAAGUUCAAACUCAAACUGGAGACUACUUAAAUUAUUUUAUAAUUUAAAGUUGUUAAAACUAGUCUUCAAUUAUUACCACAAUUUAUCACCUAUAACGUUCCAACAUAUAUUCACAAAGAGAGAACAAGUGUAUAACUUUAGAAAAACAAAUUGUUUGAAAAUCCCAAAGUUUAAAACAGACUUCAUGAAAAAAUCUGUCGGGUAUCAUUAAUUAAAUAAAAGAUUAUUAUUAUUAUUAUACCGGACUGAGGCAUAAUUUACAGCAGUUCAACUCUGGCCGCUUCGCAGCUUUUGUAAUAUAUUACCUCAGCACUUAGCAAUUGCAAUAAGCAAAUGCAGACUAUAUAAUGCAUAUUGAUAAUAUUCUAACCAUGCCACACAUGUACGGUAACUGAAAGUUGGAACAACAUAUUACCCCCCUAGGGGGGAGUUGUAUGUAAUUUAUGUUAAUUGCUAUAGUAUGUAUAAAUUGCUUAGAAGUUUCACCAUCAAACAUUAUACAAUCAUGUAAUCAAAUGACAAGUCUAAAAUAAUAUAAAAAUACCGGCAGUGUUAAGGUAUGAAAUUUAGCCCGCAUAAAUUCAAUAUAACUAAUUUAGUUGUACUGUCUUACAGUACGGUAAUAUCUGUAAUCACUAAUCACUAUAUUUUACUGUUUAUAGAUUUGAUGUUUCUGGUGUGCAUCCAAAAAGCAAGACACCUGGAACUUUGACUCAAGUUGCCUAUGAUAAAAAGUCCAUCAAUGACAUUGU